RNAcentral lists this ribosomal RNA (422 nucleotides) under uncultured bacterium. RNAcentral describes it as "partial 16S ribosomal RNA". It matches the Rfam family "Bacterial small subunit ribosomal RNA", at positions 360 to 774 of the family's 1533-position model. The record is from RNAcentral.
AAUAUUGGACAAUGGGGGCAACCCUGAUCCAGCCAUGCCGCGUGCGUGAAAAAGGUCCUCGGAUUGUAAAGCACUUUAAGUUGGGAGGAAGGGUUGUAGGUUAAUACCCUGCACUUUUGACGUUACCAACAGAAUAAGCACCGUCUAACUCUGUGCCAGCAGCCGCGGUAAUACAGAGGGUGCAAGCGUUAAUCGGAAUUACUGGGCGUAAAGCGCGCGUAGGUGGUUCAGGAAGAUGGGUGUGAAAUCCCCGGGCUUAACCUGGGAACUGCUUUCAUAACUGCUGAGCUAGAGUACGGUAGAGGGUAGUGGAAUUUCCUGUGUAGCGGUGAAAUGCGUAGGUAUAGGAAGGAACACCAGUGGCGAAGGCGACUACCUGGACUGAUACUGACACUGAGGUGCGAAAGCGUGGGGAGCAAACA